Molecule: ribosomal RNA, 253 nt
Filed under: uncultured bacterium
Lineage: Bacteria
Description: partial 16S ribosomal RNA
Rfam family: Bacterial small subunit ribosomal RNA
Source: RNAcentral
UACGGAGGGUGCAAGCGUUAUCCGGAUUCACUGGGUUUAAAGGGUGCGUAGGUGGGGCUGUAAGUCAGUGGUGAAAUCUCGAAGCUUAACUUGGAAACUGCCGUUGAUACUAUAGCUCUUGAAUGUUGUGGAGGUGAGCGGAAUAUGUCAUGUAGCGGUGAAAUGCUUAGAUAUGACAUAGAACACCAAUUGCGAAGGCAGCUCACUACACAAAUAUUGACGCUGAGGCACGAAAGCGUGGGGAUCAAACAGG